Molecule: non-coding RNA, 258 nt
Filed under: Martinezella freirei
Lineage: Bacteria; Pseudomonadati; Pseudomonadota; Alphaproteobacteria; Hyphomicrobiales; Rhizobiaceae
Source: RNAcentral
GGCGUAACUGGAUGCGACGGUUCCCCAAGGAAGACUCCGCGGGGAUUAAUAGGGAACACGGUGAGGACGACCCAAAAGGGACCUAGACCGUGGCUGCCCCCGCAACUGUGAGCGGAUUGCCGAUCAUCCAGGAGUGACCAGCCCGCUGUUCACCUCUGAAGGCUUCAAGGCCAUGCCACUGCGAACAUGCAUCGCGGGAAGGCAGAUGAUCGUCAGAUAUCCGCAAGCCAGGAGACCUGCCGUCGAUCACGAUCCAAU